GUAACUAAUAAGCACCUCUCACUUCGGACGUGAAGGCAGAUGGAACCCGCCCCCCCCAACCCCCGCCGCUCCCUUCCUGGCACAGCCCCUUGGAUCUGCCUGGCACUGUGCUCAGCCAAGCCCAGCUCGGCCACUCCCCCGAGCUCUGCAGGUCAAGCCUUCCUGUCUUUGCACACGCUGCUUUCUCUUCAGAACCCUGAUGUCACCUCCUCCACCUGCAGGCCCUUCCUCUUCCUUGGCGGUGGUCCCUGCCAGGCACGCUGUCCUGCAGUUAUUUCCUUCCAGUUCCUCGUCCCUGUUAACAGUGAAUACCUUUCUACUCAUCAGUAUGCCCAGGACUGAGCACAGAGCCCCCAGGUGAUGGUGAACUAGGAACUCAAACAAGAGGGUUCCAGAGAGUGGCUAAGAGACAAAGAGGCCUGGAUUCACCAUUAUCGCCACAGAACUACCUGGACUGAUAACCCAGCUCCACAGAGAUCCCCACCAUGCACUGAGAGGAGGGGUGGGCUGGCAGCUCCGCCUGGGCCUGGCGCCCCUCCAUGGGAGUUCUGGGGCACACCAGCGUCCUGAGCCACCCCUGUCUUAGCCUAUGCCACAAGGGCACCUCCUUUAAGAAACAGGCUGGUGAAGACCAGGACCUGGGCGGCUUGGCCAAGUGGGGGCUCCAGUGGUCCCCAACAGGCCAGGGCUGCAGUCUCCACGCAGAGCCUGUGUGCAGAGCACGUCACAGCCUCUGUCAUCACGUUUGAUCUCGGUUGGCCAGAGUUGUCACAGACAUGAAGAGAACCACAUCAACUUACGUAGCUCAAGGUAAGGCCUGUGGACAAGCCCAGCCUGGAGAGCGGCCUUGGGAAGGCCAAGGCGACGGGGAGACCUCAGGUGAGCAAGAGCUGGUGCUGUGCUGAGGGCAAGGAAGGUGUGGGACCGGACACAGGAAAGGCAAACGUGUCCUUCUCUGCUGUGGCCCCCGACCCCAUUUCUGCUCUCCCAAGGCAGCCACCACGCAGAGUUCCUGUGUGCUCUUCCAGAAGUGUCUGCACACACACACACACACACACACACACACACACGCACAGGUCAUACUAAAAUACCACACACACGUCUACACAACUAGAAGCAUGCAUUAUAUAAACACACAUGUAGACAUGAAUUAUAAGACAGUACCUAUGAAAUCCGUGACAGCCUACCUAUGUGUGUGUAUACACAUGCCACAUCCUGUAUAAACUUAGUCCGCGUGUGCUGCGUGUAUGGGGAUGGAUACACGAGGCAGCUGUCCUUUGUCAUCCAAGAAGGAAUGGUGGUGGGGCUGCCUGAAGGUGCAAAGUCGGCCGAUGCUCAAGUCCCUUAUAUAAAAUGGUUCCGUAUUUGCAUCCCAUAUACUCCAGAGGGUCUCUAGGUCACUCUAAUGCCUGAUGCUUGUAAAAGGCUGUCACAUCAUACUGUGUAAGGAACGAUAUCAGAGGAAGAUGUCUGUACAUGUUCAGCCAGAUGCAGAUUUCUUUCCAAACAUUUUUGGUCCCUGGUUUUAGUUCACAGUCACAGUGCCUACAGAUACGGCGGGCCAACUGUGGGUAAGACCAACCAUGCACCAAGCCCUGUGCUUAACCAGGCCUUAGGGGAGGGGUUGGUGGCUGAGGGUGGUGACUGAAGGGAACAGCUGGUUCUGCAGUGAAUUUCAGGGCUCAGGAGCCAGGGUUUUGCUGGUGAAGAAGAGGGCUGGCUGCUUUCAUGGGCAGGACCCCUGGUGGCUUGGUCCUUGCUGCCAGCUUGGUGGUGGCUCUCCCUGUGCAGCCACUCUCAGGAGCUGCUCUGCGAUGGCAGCAAGGCUGGUGACUCUGGCCUCAACGCUGACCAGCUGGAGCCUGUUGCGCAGGGUGCCGCAGGGAGCCUGUCUCCCUGCCUGGGACUGGAGGCCCCAGAGUUGGUGGCACAUGCUGUGCAGACCUGAAGCUUGUGACCAGCACCUAACCCACUGUCUCCCCUGCAGAGUCCGCAGCACCCACGUGGCAGAUGGCCCAGUGGCUGCCCCUCUCCCUCGACACGGUGCCAUGUGGAAGUGCACCUUGCUCUUCAGUAUCUGUUUCCUCUUCGACGCUCAAGCCAGGGUUACGCUGGGCCUCACCCUCUGCCUGGGACAGCGUUCUUUAAUGAGUUCGUUGCUGGAGGUGAACCCAGGAAGUCGGGACUGGAACCUCUCAGCAGGAGAGCCUGGGUUCCGAGUUGGAGAUGCCAGAGUCUCGGCAGGACUGAACUCUUCCCGGCCUUGGCCCUCAGCUGUGCCUGGGGAAGGGGAGCUGAGCAGACACACUGGCUGCCCCUGACCCCUGAAGUCCCAGGGGAAAGGAGCUAUGCCUGUCCUAUGUGUCUCCAGAGAGCACAAGGUACAGGACUUGGGCCCCACCGCAGGAGGGACUUCCUGACAUGAAGUAGAGCAGGCCACUCGGCAAGUGAUGCGCCCAGCGUCCUGAAUGGAGGCAGGUGCUGGGUAGUCUCCAGGUCCUUGACAUCUCAGGAGCACGGUGCUGGACCAGUGCGUCCCCACCAGGGUGGCUCUGUCCUGUGGAGCUCUCUGCGGGGAAGGCGUGGCCUGUCUGGGAGCCAGCCAGGGAGGCCGAUGCUCCUGAGUGAAGAGCUGACUUUGAAGGUGACUAACUGAUUAAUUUCUAUUUAAAUAGCCACACGUGGCUCCGUCUGGUCUGAAAUCGCCAUCUUGGCAGCUUGCAUCUCCUCUCACUGGUUAUCCCGUACUGUGACCUGAUGCUGGAUGUGGAAUCGCAGGGUGUUCUCCUGGGUCAGAGGAAGCCACCUCCUGAGAGAAGCAGAAGUCAUGUAACAGUACCGACGGGGAAUGAGGGGUGGGGGACAUGAGUAUGUCCAGCUGGAAAAGGCAACGCCAGAGAAUCCUGCCCGGCUUUUCCAGGGGCUCAGGGGACCCCUGCCCUGGCCGGCCCUGUCGGGGCUGGGUGCUACCAGAGGGUGGUGCUCCCCUGAGCCCCUUCUGGGCCGGCCGCUUUGGCCUGUAUGGUUUUAAGAGUGGUUGAGAUGCAGACUGAGGUGAUAAGCAACCUCAGGCUUCAUGUCAUUUAACCAGAAAGAGGAAGUUGUCAGGAAGAGGCCUCAGGGAUUAUAUAAUCCCGUCCCCCCAUUUUACGGAGAAGAAAGCUGACGGUGUGCAGCCCAGAAAAAUCUCGACUUGCCGAGGUCAUGAGGUGUUUCAGAGUUAAUUUUGCUAUUGUGUAAAUCAACAUGUAGUAAGCAUCGAACAGUUACCCAUCUAAAAUGUGCCCCUUUCUUGAAACAAAGGCAGAAGUCGUGCCCCCCAGGGGCUCGGGAGCUGGAGAGGCCAGGGCGUCCCCAGUAGCCCUGCGGAGGACUGGAAGGGCUCAGGGGUUUGGGGCUCUUUGGUGCAAGCUUGAUCCGAGGGGGGUUGGCUUCUGUCUGUGCUCGGCCGGAUCCGUCCGUAGAACAACCUAAGACACUCGCUGUCCCCACUGCCCACAUUCGCUCCCACAGAGCCCGGCCGUAGCAGUCCCCAGAGUCUGCCCAGGGCCGGGUAGCACUCUGCAAGCCUCCUCAGCAGCAAGACCUAAACAGGUCCUGUUCUGUUUGCCUUCUUGAAAACCAUACUUCACCCACGUGAAACCAGCUAGCAGCCUUCAAACCAGGAAGGCCUCCAGGUACUUUCUGAGGCUGCUCUGACUCACGUCUUACCUACAUUAUUUACCCCAAUUUAAAAAGUGAAUAAAAUAAAGCCAAGACAUGAGGA
Molecule: non-coding RNA, 3766 nt
Organism: Ictidomys tridecemlineatus (thirteen-lined ground squirrel)
Lineage: Eukaryota; Metazoa; Chordata; Mammalia; Rodentia; Sciuridae
Source: RefSeq, a predicted model, not a curated record